This 3240-nucleotide long non-coding RNA is filed under the name Prunus persica (peach). RNAcentral describes it as "long non-coding RNA (PPER_LNC001510)". Lineage: Eukaryota; Viridiplantae; Streptophyta; Magnoliopsida; Rosales; Rosaceae. The record is from RNAcentral.
ACUUGUACUGUAAGACACAAAGGAAAUGCAACCAAACCCUAAUUUAAUUGAAAACGAAAAACAAAUUUAAAGAAACAAGAAAAAUGAAGCCUUCUACUGCUGCACAUAAUCUAAAGAGAAGAAAAAGCGUUAGGUCGAAUUGUGACCUCAUCCAUCUAUCUUCCCACGAAAAGAUAAGGGGAAGGGCGAGAAUCAGACAACACGAACAUUAGCCAGACGGGGUCUCUAUACUGCUGCACAUGCUUGGUCCGCCAUGGACCGGCGACCCAUCUACGACAAAUUGAGCCGCAGAAGCUUCAGCAGCACGCUUGCAGCUUCAUCGGUGCUUGAAGGGGCGCUCUUCUUUGCGAAGAACGACGGCAGAGGUAGGGACUCCGGGGGAGGCGCAGCUAUACACGACGACGACCCGGCGUAGAACCCGGAAGCCCAGUUCCGUUCCGGAACCUUCUUCGAGUCAGGACCCAUCCGGCUGGUGGAUCCGAGAUCCGGAACCUGGGGAUUGGGAUUCUGCUUCUGUGGUGACCGAACCGGAGUCGCUUUGGGGAUUUCGUCGCCGCGUUUUAGGAUUUUGACCUGGCCCAUGACGAUAUUCUUGGGGGCUGCGGGUUUCUGGACCGGAGAGGGUGAGUUGUUGUUGGGCCGGGUCGGCCUUCGCUUCUUCCGGUCGGUUUGGGGAGAGGUUCUGACCCGAUUAGGGUUAGGGUUUCGAUUGGGAUUCAUCAGCGCUUGCUGAGGUGAGAGAGAGUCUUUGAGGCAAUUCUGGGGACUGAGAACUUGAACACCCAUCUAAAAUCUCACAAAAUCAGAUCCAAAAAUUCGAGCUCUUGCUACGAAAGAGAAGGAGGAAAUGAAAAACUUUGGGAAUUUACAGAGAGAAAUGUGACUGUGUGAAGAUUGGGAAGGAAGUAGGGUUGAGUUUUAUAGGGGAAGAUAAGAGACCUGAAGGGAAUAGGAGUAGGAAAAGCGACAAAAGGCGGUAGUGUAUAAUAGAAUCCACUUUCAUCAACCCCCCCUUGGGGGUUUCCUUCCUACACCGGUUUUUAGCCAUCAUUAUUGUUUCCCUUCACGAAUCUCAAUUAGGUUUCCUUUCCUUUUCUUUUUAGGAAAACGAUUACGUUUCCCAAAACACAUUUUGGUAUUAUUAUUUUCUUAGUGAUUUAGAAUUCAAACUUUUCUUGUUGAGGAAGAAAGUGCCCGAAAUUAGAUAUUAUGUUGUUUUUAGGUUUCCUAAAACACAUUUGUUAUUUUUUAAAGUGACUUAAAAUUCAAACUUUUCUUUUUGAAGAAGAAGGGACCCAACUUUUAAAUGUGUUACCAAAAUUCCUUAUUAUUGUGUUUAUCACAACUCCUAUUCUUAAGUAAUUAUUACAAAUUCUGAAAACUUCUUCGGAUGCUUCUCAUAGCUCAGCAUCCGAGACCAGCAGCACAACCAAUAACAACCACCAUAAUUUUCCCUAGCAAAGCAUGGGUUUCAAUUUAGGAGCUUCUCCGCUUAACCAGUACUUAGCUGCAGACCCUUCCAUCGGCAUGGAUUAUGUUUUUGGGAAGUCAUCUGCUUUUGUUUACCCUUACAAUCCAUUUGGUUCGCAUAUUGAAACUCUUGAGAAUGAAUUUCCCAUGUUUAAUCUCAUGAGUUGAGAAUAGAGGAUGCUCAGUCCUAUAUUUGUAAAAGUUGAGAAAUGAGGAUUAUGAAAGGUCAUUUUAUCACAUUCCCAUUGGUUUGUGGAGUAUUAGGAAUUAAAAUUGUUCAUCUUUCCAACAAUAUUCUUAUCUUUUUUUUUUUAAUUAAAGAGAAAUAAAUACGAAGAGUUUUUCUAAGAGUAAAAUAUGGUAUUUUAAAAAUAAGAUAUGGGUAAGUUAGCCAUAAAAAUUUGAAUUAAAUGCUUUCCCAUGUGGGGGAAAACAAAUUCCCAAGCUCAGCCAGGGUAUGAAAUUCCCUUUACAUGGGAAGUCAACACCCACGAGUCUAUAAUUGCAUUUCCAAUAGUGUACUUACUAAACAUGCGAAUGGAAUUUCAAACUAAUUCUCAAAUUCCCAAAUUUUGAACUAAACGAGACAUUAUGGUGUGUUUGGUUCAGGGAAAAUGGGGCUUGGGAUAGGAAAUUAGAAUUUUCUCAUGUUUUAUAAACCGAGUCAUAGAAAAUGAUUGCCUGACACAUGAGAAACUAGGAAAAAUUAAACUCUCAAACCCCUGAGGUGAGCAUUAAAUGCACAUUUUUAUGACUAUUUUGUCCAAUUCACAAUUUAUCACUUUGACUAUUCUUUUAUUUUAUUCAAUUCAUAUUUUUAAAAUGGGUAUACUUUAUAUUAAAUUUGUUUUAUAUUUAUACACAAACCAAACAUAAAAAAUUAAAUUCAAUAAUUUUUCACCUUCCCAAUAUUACCAAACAUAGAAAAAGAAUCAUCCUAUCAUCCAUAUCUCAUCUCUUGUAAAAGACAUUGAAAAUGAUUUCCCAUCAAAUCUUUUGAUCGACAGAACUGCUUUUGUCCUUUUGCUUUUGAUAACUCCAACCCAACCCAAACCACAAAGUCUCCAUAAAUAACCAUACAAGUUCAACAAAACCAAACAGAGUCCAGUGAAAUUCUGAGGUAAACAUUUGAUUUACUACCUUCACCAAGAAGUUCCAAGUUAGAACCCAUGUUCAUCAUAAUCUGUCAGCAAUUGAACUUUCCCAGAAGUCGAUUCCCCACAAAUUUCCAUCAAACACCUCAUACAUACACAACACAGCCAUCUCCAAACCCCAAAUUUAAUCACAAGAACAAGAUAAAGGAAAUUAAGAGUGCAAAAGAGCAGACAAAACACCAAUGGAAUUAAAAACCAAAUUAGACUUAACAAAUUGCUUGCAACUACAUCGUAAAAACUUGUGGAUACAUGUACACAAAAUAUACCCUUAUUUAACAGAAACAGCUCCUAAAAAACUAUACCUCUCAACCUUAAAUAGUACGACACAAAAAUAAAAGCAACCCAACCCUAAUUUAAUUGAAAACAAAAUGCUAAAAAUUGGAGCCAACCCAAGUUACCAACUACUGCUGCACAUAAUUAAAAUCCCUAACCCAUAAAUUAAUCUAAAAAGAAGAAAAAGCGUUAGGUCGAAUUGUGACCUCAUCCAUCUCUCUUCCCACGAAAAAAUAAGGGGAAGGGCGAUAAUCACACAACACGAACAUUAGCCAAACGCGGUCUCUACACUGCUGCACAUGCUUGGUCCGCCAUGGACCGGCGACCCUUCUACGACAAAUUG